Daphnia magna is the source of this 1215-nucleotide long non-coding RNA. RefSeq lists it as uncharacterized. Lineage: Eukaryota; Metazoa; Arthropoda; Branchiopoda; Diplostraca; Daphniidae. The record is from RefSeq and is a predicted model, not a curated record. The transcript has 6 exons.
GAACGUUAAUUUGGUAGUAUCGUUUUGCAACAUCCUUCCAUUUCAUACCAAGCCAGCUAUUGAUAAUGAAAAUGUGUUCGAUUGAAAUAUGAUGUUUUUAUUUAAUUAUUCUUCUGCAGGUAAAAGAACAAUUUACAUGUUUUUCCUUUGUUUUAUUUUUUGUUAUUUAAAUUUACUAUGGUGGUUACUAAACUUUUCGUGGCAUUUCAUGUUGAACUCUGUUACGUAAGGCUUCUCUAUACCUAUGUAUUAACAAGAAAUAGUUGUUCCUGUUGCUAGGUUCUGUUGUGUUGUGUGCUGGGUGCUUUUGGUACUUGUGAAGGCAAAAUAUGUAUUGGAAAUUUGAAAACUACAUGUAAUUUUUUUAAAUAGGCUUGUAUAACUGUACAAUUUGCGUUCUUUUCAUUCCAGUGCUUUCAUCUGCAGGUUUGUGUUAGACUAGGCUUUUCCUGUCACAGAUUUUGGAAAUGUGAUACUGGCUGAGGUGUGCUGGGAUGUCUUGGUUGGUGCAAUCAGCUCACGCAUAUUUAGAGGUUCGAAUUAUGGCUGACGUGUUAAUAGCCGAUGACUUGCGGAUUUUAUAAGAGAUUUGGAUCUUUGCCGAAUUUGGAUCCCAUAAAUUGUGGUUUUUAAAAUGCAGGAUUGUGGCAAAAUGUUUCUAUUGGAUGUUCAUUAGCUGGGAGUUCUAGUGCCGAACCCAUUUACCGGGGGUUAAAUCGAGUUUACAUUAUAAAUGAUAGAUGACAUUCCUUGUCGAAAACAUGUGUGGUGAGAAAGGAAAAUGUUUGUUGACUGGUGAUAGAAAAAUUUACGGUACUACGAGGCUCGUCCUGAGAUUUUGCGAUGCAUCGAAGUUUUUCCAAUACUUAAGUUAUCUCACUUGUUAAAAUGGAUUUCAGAUAAUGUUCGGAUGAUUUUGUAAUCUGUGACCCUGUUUCCGUUGUCUUGUGAUAUGUAUGUGACGGCAUAGAUGUUGUAUAUUCCGGGAAAGGGAUGCGGAAGGAAAGUCCUAUGGUUUCAUCGAGUUGUAUUGUAUAUCGACUAGUGUUGAUUGCUUGACAAGCGCUUUGUCGUUUUGCUUACCUUCCGGCAUUUAUUCAUGUUUCCCUGGCUAAUGUGCAAAUCCCUAUAAAAUCAUACAUGAAAUGUGACGAAAUAUUACAUGUAUAGGUCUAUAUAUACAAUAAAAUAAAUAUCGAAAAAUAUGCAUUUAAA